This 1516-nucleotide long non-coding RNA is filed under the name Anas platyrhynchos platyrhynchos (common mallard). RNAcentral describes it as "lncRNA (ENSAPLG00000026455.1)". Lineage: Eukaryota; Metazoa; Chordata; Aves; Anseriformes; Anatidae. The record is from RNAcentral.
UUAUGGGGGGGCUGUGGGAGGGCUAUGGGGGGCUAUGGGGGGCUGUGGGGGGCUUUGGGGGGCUCUGGGGGGGCUGAGCCGUUCCCCAGCAUCCUCCCCCGUCGCCAUGGCAACGCCCCCGUUAGGCCCCGCCUCCCGCCCGGCGUGGCCACGCCCCCCGUUCCCAUGGCAACCACCCCGUUCCCAUAGCAACCCGCGGGGUUUUGAGGCCUCCUCUCUAUGGUCCGCGGCUAGAGCGGCUCCGGCGCCAUGGCAACGCGGCCUACCCUGGAGGACCGCGCGGCCUGCGGGCCCCGCCCGGCCCCGGUGUGCGGUGGUCACCGGGGCUACCGGGGCUACUAGGGUCACCGGGGCUACCAGGGGUACCAGGCUUACCGGGGCUACCGGGGUCACUGAGGCUACUGGGGUCACCAGGGCUACUGGGGUUACUGGGGCUACUGGGGUGACCGGGGUAACUGGGGUCGCCGGGGCUACCGGGGUUACCGGGGUUACCAGGGCUACCAGGGAUUCUGGGGUCACCGGGGCUACCAGAGUUACCAGGGUUACUGGGUCUACCGGAGUCACUGGUGUUACUGGGGCUACUGGGGUUACUGGGGCUGCUGAGGUCACUGGGGCUACCAGAGUCACUGGGGUCACUGGGGCUACUGGGGUUACCAGGGUGACCGGGGCUACCGGGGCUAGCAAGUCUACCGGGGUGACUGGGGCUACUGGGGUUACUGAGGUCACUGGGACUACUGGGGCUACUGGGGCUACCGGGGCUACCGGGGUCACUGGGGCAACUGGGGUUACUGGGGUUACUGGGGCUACUGGGGCUCCCAGUGUGUCCCCGGGGCAGGAGCCUUUGCAGUCGCAGCUCCUCACAGCCGGCUGCUGGCUGCCAGGUGCCGAGCUCAGACUCGGCGGGGAUUGGGAAAACUUCUCGCUUUUAAGGAAAAAAAUCCCCGUUUCUGUCAAAGGAAAGCGCCGGAGGGUGCGUGGCAUCAAAGGAGGCUUUGCAGAAAGCCCUGCCCAGCUGGUGUUUAUCAAUCUCGUGGUGUUAUCACUUAUCAGCUGCACGCAGAGCAUGGCACUGGCAGCGAACGGCUGCGGGGAAUCGGGGCUGGCGCUGCCGACGCCUCUUUUUGCCCCAAAUAGUGACAAAAGGCGAGUGCGGGAAGGGCCGAGCUGCGCGGACGAGCAGUGUCCCGGUCAUCAGGGUGAAGGGAUUGGGCGACAGAAACCCCCCGGCUGCCCAAAGGAGCAGGCUGCAGACACCCCAAAGCUGCAGAGGUGCCACGGACACCCCCCUGGUGCAGGGCAAGGUGACCGUGCUCAGCCCUGCUCCCUCCUGUGCCUCUGCGGUCCCGCAGCGAGGCUUCCCCCCGAACACCUCGUCCUCCUCUGACCCCGCGUUUUGAAAUGUUUUCCUGCUGACCUCAUCCGGCAGCCCCAUCCCCAUCCCCAUCCCCAUCCCAUCCCCAUCCCAUCCCCAUCCCAUCCCAUCCCCAUCCCCAUCCCCAUCCCCAUCCCCAUCCCC